UAGCUCAGUGGUAGAGCGCUUGCCUUGCAUGCCUGAGGCCCUGGGUUCGAUCCUCAG
Dipodomys ordii (Ord's kangaroo rat) is the source of this 57-nucleotide non-coding RNA. The record is from Rfam. Lineage: Eukaryota; Metazoa; Chordata; Mammalia; Rodentia; Heteromyidae.